This 253-nucleotide ribosomal RNA is filed under the name uncultured bacterium. RNAcentral's name for it is "partial 16S ribosomal RNA". It matches the Rfam family "Bacterial small subunit ribosomal RNA", at positions 524 to 776 of the family's 1533-position model. The record is from RNAcentral.
UACAGAGGGGGCAAGCGUUGUUCGGAAUUACUGGGCGUAAAGGGCGCGUAGGCGGCCCGCUAAGUCGAACGUGAAAUCCCCAGGCUCAACCUGGGAACUGCGUCCGAUACUGGCAGGCUUGAAUCCGGGAGAGGGAUGUGGAAUUCCAGGUGUAGCGGUGAAAUGCGUAGAUAUCUGGAGGAACACCGGUGGCGAAGGCGGCAUCCUGGACCGGUAUUGACGCUGAGGCGCGAAAGCUAGGGUAGCAAACGGG